Molecule: long non-coding RNA, 18762 nt
Filed under: Mytilus galloprovincialis (Mediterranean mussel)
Lineage: Eukaryota; Metazoa; Mollusca; Bivalvia; Mytilida; Mytilidae
Source: RNAcentral
GGGAUUUGAAUGUCUCCUAUAUUUGCUGUAGAUUUUAUUGAAAUUAAUUCUACGACAGCUUUGAAUGGUAAGUCCAUUAAGUGUAUAUCUAAUUGAUGAAGUAUUGAUUUUAAUUUCAUGUUUUAAUUACAAUGUGUCUAAGUGUUUGACGAUAUGUUAUAGGAGUUUAAUGAAAAGGAGAUUAUCUUUAAUUAUUCAAUGUCUUUAAUGCUGUCAAAAGCACUGUAAUCGGCAUGUUUUUAUUGAUGUUUUCACCGCGCAUGGCUUCUGUUAGAUGUUUUAAUUCCUUAGAAACAUUGAGCUGCUGAAAUCAGUUUAUAAAUUGUAUGUCCUUCAAUUUCAGUAUAAUCUACUAACGUUUAAUUUAAUCACGAUCAAAACAAUUUAUUAACCAUCUGCUAAUGGAAAGAUAAAACUGAAAUGGCUAGUUACAAAGAAAAAAUUGAAUAUCUGAAAAGAAAAUCAUUACAGUUGACCAAUUGUCUUAUUAUUUUUCUGACGGUGCCUGAAAUAAAUUCGGCGUCAUUCUAGAAAACACUUUUAUAGUCAAAUAUAGCCAUUGUACACAUACAUUCCUUUACUGCAUUUGUUAAUAUUUCAGUGCAUUUAUUUGUUAUUUGUUCUCGUGUUGAGAGUUGUCUCAUUGGCAAGCAUACCACAUCUUCUUUUUUUAUUCAAGUGAAUGUUGCUUUUAUUUACUCAUUACUCUAUUAUAUGUUUCACAAUACAAUUUAACUGCUGCUGGUGUAUGUUAGUAUAUUAUGAUGGUUUUAACAGCAGUAUGAAGAAGGAAGUAUUCGAAUCACUGAACUACAUUAUAAUAAAAAAAAAAAGUUUGAUUGCAAUUGAGACAACUAUCUUAAGAGUUAAAAUGACGUGGACAUAAGCCCCAUCUCACCGUAUAGCCUUAGUAUCAUAAUGUUUGCAAGUGACUGCAUGGUUUUCUUUGUCUGGUAUACUCAUUGAAAUGGUAUAAAAAGUUUUAAAAAAAAUUAAAAUAUUCAAAUGUAGUUAUACUAAUGAAACAAAACUUGCACGACUUUCAUUGAUAUGAUAGUUAAGAGAACAGUUGCACAGAAGUUCGGCAUGAGGGCAGACACAUUCGUAUAAUUCAAAUGUGUUAGGAGUGUCAAGGGCGACAAUGAGGCUGCUAUUGGUUUCCCUUUUGUCAAUUACACAAACGCUGUGCUAAAUAUAGAUCAAAAAAAGAAUAAACGAACCAAAAGCUGAACGAAAUGACAGACACUUGUUUCGUUCUUACUACACGCAGGUGAUAAUGUAUGAAUAUUUUAUGAAACCAAGUUAAAUGUAGUGUGCAGUAUCAAAACUAGGAAAACGCUUAUUUGGUUUGACACACAAUUAAUUAUACUUUUUUGUUCAUUCGAUAUCUUUUUUUCUAUUGCUAUCCUUGCCUUUAUUGUGAUAAGAACGUAGAUGUGUCAUUGUGUAGGUACCAUAAUGUUAUCGUUGAUAAAAUUGAGAAUGGAAAUGGGGUAUGUGUCAACGAUGUAUGUCUAGUGAUCGCUUAUGGCACAAUAAUAUUUGAGAUUCGCCGUGAUCAUUUCGAACAAUUUCAAGAUGCGCUGGACGUUUCGGUGUUAAAUAUUGUCGAAUGUCAGAAGUUUACACGUACAACUUCGUGUACAUGUUCAGCAAUGUAAGUGUACCUAUAAGUGUAUAAAAUAACAUGAAAAAAGCAAUUUAUCACACAAACUGAAGAUCGUUUUGUCAAAUUUGUCUCCGUCAUACUAAAUAUGCGAUCAUGGUAAACACUUUUACAACCCUGUAAAUCAUGAAAAUAAGAAUAUUCAAUUGUUUUAAAUUUCCUUAACGAUUUUUUUUUCUUUUAAUAAAAAAAAUUAUAUGCAUUGUUGUAUCAUUGUUAUUUAAAGUAUAUGCAGUCAUUGGUGUUGCUUUAUAUUGGGAAAUAAAACAUCAUAUCAAAACUUUAGGGAGUGGUACCGUGUAUAUGAAACAAAUGUUUGACUUCUUUAAUAUGAAUACUCUGUUAUUGAUUGUUUGCUUUUUUGCCAGUAACAGCUUCGAAUAGCAACUACGAAAACCAACUCAGCCAUGAACACGCUUUGUAAAGGCAUAUGAUUGUUUCAAUGUCUAUGUGUUAUGUCGACAUUUGUUAUGUCACCUUUAAAAGGGAUAUCAAAUUUCUUAAAAGCGACUUUGUCUAGACUAAAAGUUACAGAUUUUGACAUUAUGAAUAAUUCUACACCUAGAUUUAUCUUUUAAAUGUUGGAUUAGUAUGACAAUGGUGACAUUUGUACCUGAAGCAGGUUGAUUAGAUUUUCUAAGUUAUCAGUAUUUGUAUCUCUUGAUUCUUAUCUUUAAAUGGAACUACCUGGAAACGUAUGGCAAAUAUUUACAGUAUUGAUAUUCGCUGACACAUCUCUUAUUUAUUUCAAAUAUGUUGCUUUAAACUGGUAAUAUGACAGGUUCAUCGACAUCUUUAAACACAAGCAUAUGUUGCUGAUCCCAGACAUUCAAGCUUAUCAGAUUACAAUAUCUAUCACCAUAUGAACUUCGCAAACCUGUUAGUCUUGUAAUUAUCGAGGAAAAUCGUUAAACAAUCCAAAUAUAUAAUGGGUCAGAAAACUAUCAAGAGACUUCUGGACAAUACCAUUUAGGGUAGAAAUGUUGUUGCUAUGACAGAAUUAAUAUCAGUUAUGAAUCAUAAAUACAUUUGAAAGUGUUUAAUGGGAUUUAUUUAAAAGUACGUUCACCAUGCUCGUAAGAUUAUUUGCCGAACUAUUCUUAUAAUUAUGACUUAUAAAUAAAGUACAUCGUAUACAUAAAGUACUCAAAUAGUAUUUGUUAGCAGUACUUAUGAUUAAGAUAGAACACUUCAAGUAUCGAUAACAAGUUCGUGAUAAUCGAAUAGUAUACGCUCUUUCCCUAUUAUUUAUACCACAAACAAAAUACUUCAUGUCGUUUUGAAAACAAAACCAGGAAUGUCAUAUAUGUGACAAACAUAACGCAGCCAUAGCUUGAUAAUUUUACCUACAAUUCUUUACUUUUACAAACUGUGACUUGGAUGGAGAGUUGUUUUAUUGGCACUCAUACCCCAUCUUCGUAUAUUUAUUAAUAUAUUGAAAAAAAAUCAAAAUAAGCUAUCUUUUUGGCCAAACUACUCGAUAGAUAUCAAACUAAGUCUUAUAUGUAACAUAGUUACAUACAACAGACUGACUUGUACUUGAUUCGUAUGGAACUCGGAUUUAAAAGGGGGAGUACUGGCAUAGUAAUGCUUUUAUAUUUUGAUAACUGCAUGCACACUAUAAUAUGUCAACACACAAUAAUCCCAACUUUGUCCUAAUAAGCAGCUUAAAUUGAUUUUUGUAUUAAACUUUACUCCAAAAUUAUCUAAUGUCAGAAUGAUAUUAUUAGAUAAAAAAAAGUAUUACGGAAAAUGUUGUAAAAAGAUUUAUUAUAGAUUACGCUGAAUAACUAUGAUUUCCCAGUUGGCUUCAGUGUCAUUUUCAGUAUGAAAAGAUCGAAUAUUUUAAAAGCAACUUUUGCACAUGCUCUGAAUUAAAAUUACAAAAUGAUAUUUAUUUUCAAUUUCCGUUUCUGAGUUUUGUCUGGAUGUUAAUUUCGCAAUAUGUUUAGUACGAAAACGUCAGAAAAAAAUUCUUGUCAUUUCUGCUGAUACAACUCUGUCAAUUUGUUUACUUUACCACACGCUUAUUUCAAGCAAUUAAUUAAAACAAAACCAAAAAGUUAUAUUUUAGUGAACGGAAACAACCAUAAUGUCUGUAUCGUUUAGUUUCAUGUAGAGCGUUCACUUGUCUCAUUGACAAACAUACCACAUGUUAUAACUAUAUCACCAUAUUUUUUUUAAACCAAGCAAACCCUAACCGUAUAGUUGGAUAUAAAAGCCUAGACAUUAAAGAAUUGUAAAAACCAACGGUCCAAUUCAUGACAGUAGAAAAUAAAACAAAGCAAAAACAAAUGACACUAUGAAUAUUACGAAAAAAGAAGCGAAAGAGACCAAAGGGGAAUUUGAAACUUUUAGUCGAAAACAAACUGACAAUGUCCUGAUGAUUUAAACGCAAAUACGGUAUACAAAGUUCAACUAAGAAAUUUAGUCUGUCAAAAACGAACUAUACCAAAAAAAAAACGGGGGAUAUCUUACAUAUUCCGGAGGAGUAAGCAGAUUCUGUUGCACAUGAGGAACCCGUCAUGUAUAAGACCUUCAAUUAAUUGCUAGCACUAUUACACCUGUAAAAUUCUAUAUCCCCCGAAUCUAUUCAAAAUGCAAAAAUUUAUAUAGCAUGAAUUGCAUAAGAUCGCUCACUAAUUUUAAAUUCGCUAAGGGGCAUGAAAAAAAAGAUAUAAACUGAAAGGGCUUUGAUGAAGAGUUGGAUUGUAUACUUUUUACUUUUUUAUUCCCACAUUAGCACUACCUAACAAGACACCCCAUGUGUAUAUGUUUCAGAAUAUGAUCUGUCAUUUAUUGUGGCAAGGUUGUUUGGUUUUUUUUUUUCAUAUUGUAUUGGUUUCAAAAUAGCGUCUACUGCAUUUAGUAAUGUGUUUUGUAAAAGUAAAGCACGAAUACAGGGACCAGCUGCAAAAAUAAUUAAAUGCUUAAGUCAAUAAAAUACCGGAAAAUUUAUAAAUUACACCUAUGGUUAGUUUUGUUGUGACAACAAAUUCAAUUUCCGUUAAAUAUUGAUGACUAUUAUGAUUUAAAUUUGAGAUAAUGCUCACGAGAGAAUAUUUUAAAAAUCAUUAUAAUUUCACUAUAUUGAUAGUUAAUUAUACGGUACAUGUGCUUCCAAUAAAUUUUGCAUAUUAAUUGGUUUGUAAUCCUAGAAUAAACAAGCCUACUCAGUAUAAAUGUAAGUGAACCUUAAUAUAAAAAAGAUGUGGUAUGAUUGCCAAUGAGACAACUAUGCACAAAAGACCAAAAUGACACAGACAUUAACAACUAUAGGCCUUCAACAAUGAGCAAAGCCCAUACCGCAUAGUCAGCUAUAAAAUGCCCCGAUAAGACAAUAUAAAACAAUUCAAACGAGAAAACUAACGGCCUUCUUUAUGUAAAAAAAAAUGAACGAAAAACAAAUAUGUAACACAUAAACAAACGACAACCACUGAAUUACAGGCUCCUGACUUGGAACAGGCACAUACAUAAACAAUGUGGCGGGGUUAAACAUGUUAGCGGGAUCCCAACCCUCCCCCUAACCUGGGACAGUGGUAUAACAGUACAACAUAAGAACGAACUAUAAAAAGUUAAGUCUUUAUAUAGGGUCGGGGUGAUAAAUUAUUUAUAACUCCCAAAUCAGUUGUAGGUCUGGUUUUAUUUUACUUUUAAAAUUCAUUUCUUAUUUCUAAUACUCAUAGUCAUAUAAGUUUAUAACGCUUAGAUAUGACACCUUCUUUAAAUCUUCCGGUUGAUACACGAUUUGCUCUUGGCUACAGCUUAUGUAGGUUUCUCUUGUAUAUACCUACAUCUUCAGUUUUUCUAAAUCUUUAGACCCGACCGUUCUUUUCUGAAGGUAAUCCGAUCAAUCGCUUAGAACGUAGAAAGAUCGACCUUUUAUUCACUUUUUGUAUUUCAAAUAGAUCGAGUGUUAUUUAAAAUUUGCAUUGUGAAUUGUUUAGCACAUAUCUAUUCCUACGUAUUGCAUGAUAUUUUGGUGCUUGACUUCAAGCAGAACAAUUGAUAUGAUAUUUAGGACAAUGACAUUUAAAUUCUUCUAUUCUUUCAGUUCGUCAAGACGAUUUUGUCCAGAUAUCCAUUUGUAAUCAUGAAAAUUCUGUGUUAACCUGUGAUUCCUUUAAUGAAGAGUUGUCUGCUGAAUUUCCUUUGAAUAUUACCUCACUGAUUUACUCUAAAUAUUACCUCAUUGUUUUAUUCUGAAUAUUACCUCAUUGUCUUAUUCUGGAUAUUACCCCAUUGUCUUAUAUUUUAAAUACCUUUGCACAAUUUAUCUAUAACACAAUUUAGGAAUCUUAACAAAGCCAGAAAAAUAGUGUAUUAUUUUUAUUUGUGUGUUUUCUAGCUUUGAAUAAUUGGUAUUUGUUAGUUUGUAAAGCUUACUGUUGUGUGAUAUGAUUAUGGUAAUGAACUUAAUCGUUUAUAUAUAAAAUGUAUUCUAGAAACCAUGCCUUUCUGGCAGCUGUUUGACAACAUGAAAUAUGACAUUUUCUUCUAAUAAAUAUUUUAAUUAUGCAAAUGAUGACCAUAUGAAAAACGUGGCAUUCAAUCUGCAGAAGUUUGUACUUUUCAUUAGCAAUGAAAAAUUACUAUCUCAAAUAACAGGGUAAUAUAUCAUUUUCAAUCCCAUUAUUGAAUUUUCUUGUUUGAGCUUGUAUUUUGACAUAUUUUUAACUAAACUAAUUUUAAUGAGUUUUUAAAACGUUAAAAGCAUUAGUACCGUGGCUUUAUUUCAUAGUCAGGAUAUUCCCCCAGUGUUUUGUAUUGAUUUGCAAUCAAUCUGUGAAAUAUAUCUCCCCUUCGUCAUUUAUGCCUUUCAUUAGCAUUUACUUGAUUGGAAACGCCACUUUAAACGUUAAAUAAGAAAAUAAUGUCCACGUAACUCGAUCUCGCGUGCAACGUCCUGGUUUGCAAACUAGGAUUUCAGCAUUAGAAUAAACACAGGAAUGAACAUGUGAGGUUUCCGAAACACUAAUUAAGUUUUAAAAGGUUAUACAUCAACCCGGAUCGGAAAUUAUCUUGCAAUUUUCUCCAAAAAAAUCAUUACAGUUGAUAACUGUAUUCACCAGAGUAGGACCAAAUAUCUUUUGACAAUAAAAACAAAUAACAUUUAUGUAGAAACAUGCUUGAUUGAUUGGAAUAGUAAUCUUUUGGGAACGGAUCUGUUAUAGAGCUUUAAUUGUGGUGGAGCGCUGCCUUGCAUGCAAGCAUACCUUGAUUUACAAUGGUGUGUAAAUACUUUUUUUCUUUUAAGCAGUAAUUGAAAAUUUUCUGUCCUACCUGACGAAUCAAUAAUUUUAUCAGAUUUAAUGUUUUUUUCAAUAAACUAUUUGCUGUUCGUGUUUCUCUGUUCAUAAUAGCAGUAUAAACGACAAGUUUGAAGAUGUCUAGAGUCAUACGUGCCGGAACAAAUCCUGCUGAAAUUUCUUAUCUUUGCAUUAGAAUCCAUAGACUGAACUUUUCAGAGAUAUAAAGAAGUAAUAUCACUAGUUUCUAUGGAUCCAAUAUAUUCAUUGAUGUAGUAAAAGGUUGCCAAUUGAUUUCCGACAUUUCAAAUCAAAGGAUAAUGCUUUACCAGGUAAUUCAGCACUUGAGAAACCUUAUGGCCAUUGUCUUAUUAUAAAACGUCCAGAUUAGCUUUAUUUAACCUUUCUAUUAGGUUUAAAUUGACGCAUAUGUCAUGACUAAUCAUUAUAACAAUGUCUAUUUGUAAUUAAAUUCUAUAACUUCAUCAAAACACCAGAACAACUAAGAAAUUCUAGAUAAAAUUGAACGCAAGAUUUUCAUAAAAAUAACUUCUGGUACAAAUCAGGAGAAGUUUCAAAUCCGAUUGUGAUCAAUCUUUUUGCAGUGUCAUAUUAUGUAAUUGUAACCGUAGGCUAAACUUUCUGUAAUGUUAAGAGAUUGCGUUCGGUGAAAACGUUCUGUUAGCUCUGUUGUUGUGAAGAUUUUAAGUUGUCAGCUUUGAUUGAUAUUGUAGUUCCAAAUAGAAUAUUUAACCUAAUAUCAAAGAUGGCUACAUUUGUGUGUGGCUUUUAAAAUGUUUAACCUGAUAACAUUUAAGCUUGGCUUCAACGAUGUUUAAACUAGUACCAAAUAGAGUAACAUGAUUGUGUAUUUGGCUUUUGUAAUGUUUAACCUAGUAUCAAAUUGGUAACCCAGUUUGCUUGGCUAAUGUUUGAACUAGUAUCAAAGAGAGUAACAUUUCUGUUUGGUUUCAACAACAUUCAACUUGGACAAUACAAACUGAAAGCAAAACCGAAAGAAAUCAAAUCAAAGCUGACAAUAAAUAUCUUUUUAUAAGAAAUCAUAUAUGUUUUGUCUGAUAUCAGGACCUUUUUAUGCUCUACUAUGCAUUAAGCGUUAAGUUUUCUUUAAUAACGAUAAAGGUAUCAAUUGAAAUGUUUGGCUUCCGAGAAGCUCGAGAGAGGUCAUAAUAUUUUGAAUUCAAAACUUGAUUCAAACAUUGACAAAAAAGACGUCAAGAAUGGCAAAAUCCGGGCAUUUUGAUAUUCUAUUUCUAGUGAGUCCUUUUAAAAAAAUGUGACAGAAUUCUCUUAUAUUCUAAUUUCUAUGUUUACAUAAACCAUUACUACGCGAUACUUUUAACAGCCUGAUUAAUGAUGUAGAUCAUUUAUUUACACUUCUAUAAAUCGACUCAACAAGAAUAAAUUUACAUGUUUUUGAAUAAUAUUAUGUUUGUGCAUACACAUUUUGCUUAAAAUUCCAGAAAUUUUAUACAGACAAUUCAUUUCUGCCAGAGCCCAGACUGAUAUAUAGCAAACUUGAUAUUUAAAGUGUACUCGAAGAUCAAAAGUAAAUUAAAUAGUCUUAAAAGAAAAUGAGCUAGAUUUUAUUCAAGCCGCGGACCAUUGUUUAACAAUGCUACUUCAUUUGAUGAAAAAUUGAGAAAAAUAGUCAAUUCAAAUAUCAUUUUAUAAUGCUUCGUAAUAUUUAUUGGUAGAAUCAUUGGCUUUGAUGUGUUACAUAAUAAUGGUUAUUUACUGUUAUAAAAUGAAUAUGAUUCAAGAUGAAGUUUUUAUUAGUAAUCUGAAAUGUUUGUAUGGUUCCCUGGGUACAGUCAUAUUGGCUAUUAUUUCCGUUUUUAUCUGUCCAGUUCUGAAUAUUUGUUCGUUUUUGUCUGAUUGGAAAGGGUUGUCAUGAUAAUACGUUAUAAAUCUAUUGAAGAAAAAAUUUCAAACUGUUCUUUCAUCUUUCUUCCGUGAGUUUUAAAAAGAGAUGCGGGUAUUGACAAAAAAAAAUUGAUAGAGAAGCUUUCGUAUGAUCGGUUGAAAAUCUUUUAGUAUUUAUCAUGCUAAGUAUACAGUUAUAUUCUUUUGUAACAUACAUUAAAUACAUGUACGUUAAAAAUGCAGUUGGUUUGUUCAGAAAGCUGUAGGUGUGAUAAGGGACCUAUUUGAUAAGUAAUUUUUUCUGGAUGUUUUAAAUUGAUACAUACAUGUAGCAUUGUUUUCGACAAAACGAUAAAGAAUUAUUUUUGUUAAUCAUUUCUGACACAGAGAUGACCCUUACAUCUGAAAUAAGUAAACAUAGAGAGGUUUAGGUCAAAUCUUCUGUUCAUGAAAAAAAAGUCAAAAAAAUAUUUUGAUAUUAACAACAUAUUAAUUAUUAUUCAAUUAAUUUUUUUCAAGCAUGCGUGAUAUAUUUAUAUGAAAUUUUGCUAGUUUAGACCUGAUUAAAAGAAAGCAGAUUAAAUUUUCAAACAAGUUGUUGUUGGGUUUUUAUUAUUAUUUUUUUUUUUUUUUUUUUUUUUUUUUUGCUUUCAUUAAUCCUGGACUCAUUGUAAAUAAAGGCAACAGUAAAAGAGAUCGUAUUAUUGUACAUCUCUUCUUCUGACACGUCUUAAUGGAGAUUAACCCAGUUCCUAAUAAAAACAUCUAACUUGAAAGACUUAUUCCACUGUCAUUAUUUAACUUAAAGUCAGAUUAUACAUCGCGGUUUUUGUCACGUAUUCAACAUUAAUGUUUCAAAACAUUUUAAGAGAACAAAAACAGAUAAUCCAAUUUUCCUACUACCUACGUGUAUUAAACGUAUUCGAUCUAAGAACUCAUUUGUUACUGUUCCGGACCAUAUGAGUAUUUGGACCAUACGCGUAUGGUCAUGACCAUAUGGGUAUAUACACAUAUGGUCCGACCAUACGCGUAUGGUCCGACCGUACGCGUAUGGUCGGGGUAAUUAACAAGUUUACAGUUUUCAGGUAUAAACCUUGCAGUUGUCACGUCAUUAAAAAGACGAUAUCAAAGGUCAUUUCAUUUUUAUUAAAUAAAAAUAGCAGUUUCAUGCAUUUCAUUUUACUCACUAGUCACUAUAGUAAACACAUUUUAUACAUAUAGUCAUUACCGACUUGUUGUUACGAGUGCAUGGCAAUAUGUCGACAUAGGUAGAUAUUUUCAUAAUUUCUUAAUGACUGUUAUGGAAUUUCCCGAGAACUCGGUAUCACUAAACGCAGCUGAUAAGAAGGCUAGCUUUACGCUCGAAUGCAAAUGAUGUAACUGCAAAGGAUCGUGAUAUUCAAGACGUGCAAAUGCAGAAAAAGUUAUGGUACCGUGUGGAAGUAAAUGUCAUUCUAAGCGUAAAUUAGAAUACAAUUCGCGAUGAAAACUAAACAUUACUAACUGUGACAUCAAUAUUUGAUUUUUAUAUAGCCUCUGAAUUAUAAAAUUAAUACAUUUUCAUGUAAACAUCAUUGGUUGUUUUUAGAUAAAGUUUAUUGAUAUUUGAAAAAAUACCUAUAUGAUCCAAAUACUCAUAUGGUCCGGCCCGUUAAUAACCAAACCAGUAUAUAUACUCAUAUGGUCCGACCAUACGCGAACGGUCGGACCAUACGCGUAUGGUCGGACCGUAUGAAUAUACGCAUAUAGUCAUGACCAUACGCGUAUGGUCCAAAUACUCAUAUGGUCCGGAACAUUACCAAAAUUUCUGUUUUAUUCACCAAAUAAGGGUUUCCAAAUAUGAUAAACGUGAAUACCUUGCUAUUUUCUUAGAAAGGUGCAGUGGCAUGAAUUUUAUCAAUUGAAUUUUAAAUUAUAUAGAUUAAACUCUCUUCCAGAAAACUGUAAGAAUAACCUAUUCAAGAUUUCGUCUGUUUCAACCAUUAAUUAAGUUAAUUAAGAGACCAAGCAAAUGCGCUACGUUGUAACAUGAAGGAUACCAUUAUUUUGUAUUUGUUCUAUUCUUGUACAUUACUGCAGUAACGGAUUCUGAUCCAAUAAAAAAAAUAGAUAGGUCAACUUUCUUUUUAUGAUCUGAUAAAUCGUAUUUCCUCAAGCAUAUAUAUAAUGCUUCUUUAAUGUAAAUUACUUAGGUCACAUCACAUUACGCUUCAUACUUUCUCCUUUUUAUAUUUUCUCAAAAUAGAAUAUCAAAUGAAGUGAUUUGAUCUUUUUAAUUUUAAUUAUGAUUUAAAACAACAAGUAUGCCAGUACUAAUACUACAAUCAAUAGACGUUAUUAAUUUACAGCACAAAACAGUCACGUAAACCUUGAAAAUCGUACCAUCGUCGUCAAUCCUAACGUUACUUUGGUAUCGCUGUUUUCAAAAUCCGAAACGGUGCACAUCGCAUUUCUAGUAUAAAACAUUGUCGAAGUGACCACAGUUUCGUAGAGUAUUGUAGAGGCACAAGUCAGCGGACAACUAAUGUACAUUAUCGAUUAUCAAAGCACACAAGACGACCAUGUUAUAUACUCGCAAUUUCCGUAUACAUACAUUUUCUAUGCUUAAAAAAAAGCAUUGCACACAAAAAGGUUUCUAAAAGAAAAACAAAAAAUACUGGACAGUUUGAAAUUUUAUUUUAAGUCAACAUUCUGUAUCUCAUUAGAAAAAACGAUAUUAAAAUUCAUCUGAAAAUUUUCCAUAGAACUAUGCUAUUUUUCUAAAAUUAUAUUGAAAGGAGUUGCUUGGGUUAAGCAAAUGAGAAAAUGUCAGAACUCUAAUUAAUUUUUACAUGAGUUCCUUAAACUUUCCAAUGUCACACUAAAAUGAGUAUAAUUAUUAAGUCAUAUUUGUUUGAUAAACCGAUGAUAUAAUACAGUAAAUUGUGGGCAUAUGAUUCAUAUCUUAAGUAACACUUGCAUACACUGCUAUAAAGUCAUGUUUUCCUCCAUCAAUUUAACAGUUUCCAGUCGUAACUGAUCUGUCUUCCUUCACUAUUAACAUAGAUUAGCAGAAUUCUGGUACAAUAAUUACUCAUUUGUGAAAGCUGUACAUUGUCUUGUGGUUGCUUACAUUCUCGUUCGUUGGUCUCUGGUGUUUAGCUGUCUCAUUGGCAAUCGUACAACAUCUCUUUAUUUUCAUAUAAGGCAAAAGUGUCUGUUGGUGAAUAAAUAUAUGAAAAGUUAUAGUCGAGAACACCCGCUGCAUACUUCAAAAAUGAUGUUAUCCGACCAAGCGAGCAACGUACAAAAUGUAAUGUUUUCAACAAAACGGUCAUUGUUGAUCUGAAACAUAUCCUCUUUGGAAUGAAGGGAUAUGACAUACAUCCUUUUUCAAAUACAAAUUUUUUUUUAAAUACAUGUCUGGUGGUCGGACCCUUAUGAAUAGGUCAUCUGUUAACAAUAGGCAUUUAUAAGAAUUUCGUGUAUUUCUGUGUGGGGUUAACUGGUAAAUUCUCGAGCACCAAUGUCAAGUUGGCAAACUAUUACAGUAAUAACACUUAAUGUAUAAAAACAUUGAAAAGAACUUAAUGGAAAUACACAGAUAACUAUGCCAUACCUUCGAAUGAAUUAUAUGACAGUUUAUGUUGUAUAGUAGUACAAUAUCUGCACUUAAAACUGAGGGACUAUAAUAGUACUCAAGCUAUGUAAUCGACCACUCGGAUGUAAUAAAAUAGGCAUAUAAAUAGUAAUAAAACAGAAAAAUCACAUUCAGUUAUCGAUGUACGGAACGUUGCUAUAAUAAAACGCUCCUAAAAUAGUAUGUAGGUUUUAAAAUGUAAAUAUGUGCAUGCUUUAACAUGUUGUAGUACGCGUAGGGUAUAAGACAAUAAAAUAGUGCAAUAUAUUUAAUUAUGUAUCAAAGACAUGAUUUAUUCAUUGACAUUUGCAAGAACAUUUUGAACCGUUUGUCGUAUAUUACGGUCAGAUGAUUUGUGAUUUCAUUUGAAAUUUAAGUACUCUUAGACUGAAUUUGUUAAAACUAAUGGCAUUUCAAUAAUUGAUUUAGAAUCGAUACUUCAUUCCGUGAUUUAACAUCUUUAAAUUACUAUUCACUGAUAAUAUUAAAUGAAUCAGCUGCCUAAAAUAGUAUCACGGAACCUAUUCUGAUAUAUUCAUAUACGACUAAGAUUUUGAUGAUGAUGAUGAUUGAAAUGUUUAACAUUCAGUGGCAAAUUAUAAAAUUAAUUUGGACUAGAACAUAUUAAAGUGACAUGAAUGUCAACUAUGCUUUGUAUAAGACUGCUAGACUUAGUCGUUUGCGGUCCGCAGGAAAACAUGUCACCUUACUUAUUCCAUUCUGUCUCUGGCCCAAUCACCCUUCGCUUUUACUUCUAAAUGAAGAAGCAUCAUAUAACAAUGUUAAGACAUUGGUUUCACACUGACGGGGAUCCAACUUACAAGCUCUAGCGUUUAAGAUGAGCACUCCGAUAUUACCGAGAUGUUUUUAGAAAAUGAAUUGAACAAAAUGGUCAAGCAAAACACACUAUGUUGCUUUAGCAUAAUUAUUGGUUUAACAAAAAAAAAUAACUUGUAGUUUUAAGAACAGAAUGUUUUGUUUUGAUCAUUUUAAACAGUCUUACAAAAGAAGUUUCACAAGUUGUGGAGUUAUCACAAAAUUUCACUAUCACAUUAGGUGAUUAACAUGCUGAAAGCUAGAGUGAAUUCUUAAAAUAGUAUUCAAAUAGUAAGAUAAUAAUCCUAUGUGAAAGGGGAAAAUAAAAUAUAGAACUGUAUUUUACAAAUAUGAGCUCGACUUGUUCUUUCUGGAAUUCACCAAAAAAAAUGAUAUAAGGACUAGGAUAUAUAACAUCGGAAUGGGACUCGAGUGAUUACCUUUUGUAUUUCAUUUUUCUAGUGGUAUACGUAAGUCUAUGUUUCACGUUUCAUAUUAUUUAUCGUAGUCUAGUAUAAUAAUCAGAAUAUAUGGAUAUCGUCAGUAAUCGUCGGUGACUCCUUCUUGUCUACUGAGAAUUCGGUGUAUGUGUCAAUCGUCUAUCAUGCUGAUUUAUUCACAGAACGUCUAGACUCGUGCCGAUUUAGCAUUUGUAAUACGGUGUAGUCGACUAGCCGUCUUUGAAAUCCGUACGGGGACUUUUAGAGGUAGAUAUUCGGUUGACUUCUGUUGUUGUGUUGCUUUCUUAUUGACGAAAACCUCAUGAGAUAAAACUAAAGAAAUGUGGUAGUAUUAUAUAUGAGACUAUUGUCGACCAAAGACCACGGAAAUGAACAAUUUCUAUGUAUAUCUCUUUAAGAAGUGAUAAACUAUUGUAUUAUGUUAGGCAGCAGAAAAAACUAACAUUUUAUUUUUAAUAUCAAUAAUGGUAAAAGUACUGGCAGUAUCAGUUUAUUUUCUAUCCUGACAUUAAACAAAAUUUGUAAUGGUAGUUACAAUUUAUUUUAUAUUCCUAAAAUUUCAAUAAGGGAGCUACCAUUUGAUUUUUAUGGGGGGGCUAGGAUGAAAAAUUUUUUGUCCUGCUUUUUUUUUUAGUUGUAAUCUCUGUCCUGCCUUUUUAUUUUUUACUCUAUUCGGUCCUGCCUUUUUUUUUACUAGUUUAUCCUGACUUUUUUUACAAAAAUUGUCAUCCUGUCUUUUUUUUUUAACAAGUUUCUCAUCCUGCCUUUUUUUUUAACUCAAAACUCCUGUCCUGCCUAUUUUUUUCAAAUUUCAUCCUAGCCCCCCCCCCCCCCCCCCCCAUAAAAAUCAAAUGGUAGCUCCCUAAAUUUGAAAUGUUACAUUUCUCUUGAGACCAGAAUCCUUGAUGAGCCCCUGUCAAUUAGUGUCCGUCAGUGGUCAGUUUAUUGACGUUUCCGUUUAUCAUUGUAAUAAAAUGGAAAAUUCUAAAUUUGUCACUUUGUUCAUCAAUUAAUACUAAUGAGACUUUUGUGGAUUGGGAAACGUAUCCGAUUCCGAUUUUAUUAUCCUGAAUAUGGAUUUAUUAGGGAUUACAAAACCAACCUAAUUCAGCAAUAUUAGAUCGGGGAACCAGUUAAUUGUAUACAAUGACCACAAAAUGGAGCGAUUGCCUGAACUACAGUAUGCUUAUAAGAUUAUACAAAAAUUAAAGAUCAAGCUUCUCCUAUAUAUAUGUUUUCCUUUUUCCUUUUUUUUAAUGACAUGAGAUUGAAGUUGAAUUCCUAACAGACAUUCAUAAAUAUAACGUGGAAUGCUCCGGUUAGUUGUGAAACCAAGAAAAAGACUCUACUAGCUGUUUAAAGAAACUAUAUGAAAUUAUGAAUUUUGGUGUUUUUUCCUUCACAAAAAAUGUUAGCAUAUUUUUUUUUAAUCUUUAUGCAGUUUAAAAAAUUAAUCGAUAAAAAAAAAAUGAAUUAUAUCUUGAAUUAUAAGAUAUUUAGUUUUACCCGUUUCUUUUGUAUCAAAUUUACUUAACUAUUUUUUAUCAACUUUGUUUUCGACCGUUUUAGUCUUAACAUUAGCAAAUUGUAGAAUGUAUACAAUGUGUUUAUUUGGUAGCUAUUGUUUUUAUUUAGCGUACUGUCAUCUUUCUACAGUCAUAUAUUUAUCUUUACAAUUGUGAGAAGAAAUAUAGCUUAGGUGAAGGGAUAGUGACACAGCAGCACAACAACUAGAUCUUCUUUCAAUAAAUCAAAUCAACCCAUACACUAGUAAUUAGCCGAAGAAAACUGUCGUUUGAACACACUUUUAACAAGAGACCGGAUUACUUAUUUAUUACAUUGUGUCUCGUAAUAAAAAAAAACAGAAAUAAUCAGCGAUAAACACAAUGUUGAGGCCCCUCAUGGGGGGUCCUAGUAAUCACAUAAUCACCAUUUUUUUGCCAAUAUAAUCACAUAAUCAUUAAAUAUUUAUUUUAGUAAUCAAAUAAUCAUAAACUAAAAAUAAGUCCUAGGUAAUCAAAAAUCAUGAAAUAUUUGGCCAUGAGGGCCCUCAAUGUUAUUGGCAUGAAUGUGGCAGAGUUUACUACAAACUUCCUUAAUUUGUUCAGUGGUGAAUCAAGUGAAAAUAAUAAAAACAAAUCUACUUUAAAUGAACUAAAACAUAGGACAUAAGAUCAAAACUUCAAAAGAAAGUACAGCGUCAUGAAGGUAGUGUAGUAAUCUUGAUGCGUUUAGCAACCCAGUGUAAUGUUUAUGGAUUAUUUUUUUCACUGCUCUUCAAUUUGUCAUUGGUUAGACAAUUUUCAACAGUUUUGAAUCGAGUGAAAAUUAUGCGCAUUAUAUAAACGAAACGUUCAUAAGGAUCUGACUGUAACAUUAAAAAUUGAAAUAAGUUUACAUACGAUUGCAGAAAUCAGUUUUUGAUGUCUUUGACACAGUCAUCCGCGCCCUAAUAAUGUUGUUUUCCUUAAAAACAAAUAGAACAACAGACGGGAAUUAUAAGAUUUAGCAAGAUUAUACAAUUACAAGGUUAACCAAUACGCACAUGUUAUAUCGAAAAAUACUACAUUGUAUAAUGAUAAAACAUUUAUUCUUCUUGAUUCUUAAGCUUGUUCACAUAAAUGUAUCAAAUCUACUUAGUUGUACAAAUCUUUAAUCUCAUUGCGAUUACAUUUUUUUUGUAAAUCUAAAUAGGGUAUUGAUUCCGCGAGCAGUUUACUUAUGGUUUCUUCUUAUUAAAAAAAAUCAAUUGCUUGUUCAGACAAAUGAUCUCAUGAAUUAUUUGACAUAUAUAUUUUUUUUUCAUUCGUCUUUUUUUAAGAAAACUUGUUAUAUGAUCAAUUUCAAUGUUGAAUACAAAACACGCACGGAUCAUCGUUAUCAUUAAUUUAUCUCAAAUUCCUAAAGGAAUUCUAAGAAAUGAAAAUCGAUUAAUUUCCACCUUUGACAGUCUUGGAUACAUGAAAUACAUUAGGCCUAAUAGUUACUUAAAGAGUUUCGUUAUUUUCCAAUCGUAUGUAAUGACUUCUUUCAGUUUUUCAAUGUCUGUUUAGGUACAUCAUUUGCAUAAGAGAGUUAUUCACAAGCUUUUUAAGUCUUCAUUUCAAUAACUAAAUUACGUGACGAACUAGACUCCAUGUGUGUACACCGUCUUGAAGGAAGGAUUUGUAUAGUAAGACUGUAAAAUCCUUGAUUGUAGUAAGUGAGCUACAAAAUAAUUUUGAGCAGAUAAUUCGAGUCCUGUUUUAAGUGAUAUAUGAGAUAUAUUAAGCAACAAAAACAAUAUUUGACCAAACUUUUGAAUUGCAAUGAAGGUUAAGAAGAUAGUACGAUACUUAAUAUACAAGAUAUUUUAGGAGCAAUCAAAAACUGUAAGUCAGAGAUGACAGACAUCACACCACAAAGACCUUAAAUAAAAGAACAAAAACAAACAGUAAAAUAGAAACAGAACUAGAGAAACAUUUAAAUUAAGUAACUUAAACCCGAUCUCAAUUUUUAUACAAACUCAGUGUUAUUAGAUUAACAAUUUCAUAAUUGCCUCAUAAAAACUGCAUUUCAAAUACUUCGAAUUUAUCAAGUAAUAAAACUGUUUUCAAAUAAAUACAAAACAGAACACAAGAAAAUCAGGAAAAUGUCGCCAAAGAAAAUUAUAUCAUCUUUUGAAGAAGAAAGCUUACAUUUCCAUUACAUAUUUUAGAAUUUGACAACUAACUUAUAAUUAAAACAUAUAUAUAUAUAUUUCCUCAAACUGGAAGUCCAAUUAACAAACAAGAUUUGAUUGUAACAGAAGAGUUGAACGACCUUUUGAAUUUAACGUUCUUGAGCAUUUUAUUUAUGUGCCAUCCUCCACUGGAAAAGUCAUUUCCAGCUUCACAAUUUACUUGUCAAUACAAUUGAAUUCUAUUGAUAGGACAUUGGUCUGACAGUCAGUACGAUGGUAUUUACGGAGAAAACCUGGCUGCUGUAAUUUAUUUGAUGUACGUCUCCAGUACGUUAGGCUAUAACGCAUUUUCAUUAACUGAAUAUUGAAGAGCUGUUUCGGAUUUUAUUUUUAGCUUUACAUAGACAGCUAUUUCGGGCUGACUUGUAUGAUUUGAAUAGUAUGGCUUUAUAUAAAUGAUUACCGAUAAUAAAUUUUAUAUCAAUGUAUGUUUUUUUCACAAAUCACUAAGACAGGUUUGAAAUCAAUCCAUUGAAUCUGUUCUAUCAAUUUCUGUUUGUCAUGUGGCUCUUUAAGUAAUUUUUGUUCAUCCAUGGCUAUUAAAAAAAUUAAACUAAAGCGUUCAUGAUGAAACUAAAUCCAAUAAAGCGUUUCGGGUGCACCAAUCUUUAGUUGCUUUUUUUUUAUUUUGAUUCCAGAUAAGAGUAUUCCGUUUACGUUAUAAUAAAAACCUGAAACUUAUCAAGAUGAAAAUUGAAACCAAAUUAUAACUUUUGUCUUCUAAAACAUAUUACUGGAAACUAUAUUUAAAGGGAAAGAAGAAUCUAUAGAAAGGAGAAACGUUCAAUUUCAGGCUGAUGUAAGUCAGUGAGUAUCCGUUUCAUUUGCAAUUCAGUACUAUUUGAUUUUAUUCAUAUGACGUUUUUAUGUUAGUUUCGUCUACAGAUUGCUACACCGCAGGCAAUAGAAAGUGAUUCCAUUAUAUACAUCAAAACAACAAUAAAAUCUCAUAAAACAAAAAUCAAUACCGUUUAUUCAAUAUUUAUCAACAUUUUACCAGCGUAUAGUUCUACCGUGUAAAGUGCAGGACGUCUCUUCAUUAAGUUUCUCAUAAAUGGAAGCAUCUUUAAAUGAUUAUUGUGACGUCAUAACCUCGUGACAAUGUCGCACCUGAGAUGUUAAUUUCAGAAUCAAUUUUUCAGUUUUUCAGAUUGAACCAUAUGUUGAUUGUCAAUUCAUUUGUCGGUCGUUGCUGAUGAUGGAAGUCUUGUCUACUAAUCAAGCCUAGAAGGACUAUGAAAUGACAUUGUUAAAACUUGUGUGUGGGACAAAGACUCUUCCUAUACGUAACUAAUAGAGACACGUGCCUUGGAUAUUCUAUUUCUAAAGGUAAGUUUUAUUUU